GGGGGCGCCCCCACACUGCUCGCGUCAGGAGGGACGGGGGCGCCCCCCACACUGCUCAUGUCAGGAGGGACGGGGGCGCCCCCACACUGCUCGCGUCAGGAGGGACCGGGGUGCCCCCCACGCUGCUCGCGUCAGGAGGGACGGGGGCGCCCCCCACGCUGCUCGCGUCAGGAGGGACGGGGGUGCCCCCCACGCUGCUCGCGUCAGGAGGGACGGGGGUGCCCCCACGCUGCUCGCGUCCGGUGGACAAGGGGAUUUCCUGGGGACCUCCCUUCUCUUUAUUCGAGAGCUCAGGAGAUACUGGGAGCCAAAGGCCACUGAGGGCCAUUUUGCAGACACGUCAGGCAGGAUCCGGUGUCCUGGGAUGCGUGCUGUGCCAUAUCCCAUGCUGGGUCGCCUGUAAAUGAGCCGCGGAGCCGACAUGCGUGGCUGAGGGCUUAGCUCUGGACACUGUGCCUGAGAGUUUCGUGUUGAGAAGGAGCCCACAUGCAGAGCAGUGUGCAGUCACGGGUGUGUGGGCUUCGCAUCCGGAAGGUGAGCCUCGUGCCCCCUUCGCCUGCGCACGCCCCCGAGGGCACUGCGGGUCAGGACGUAACGCACGUGGCGUACAUGGCGCCCUGCGCCCAGCUGCUUUAGCUCUAGCAAGCCCGUUUGGGAAACGUCUCGUUGCCAUGAUGGUCUUAGUGCUCUGUGUGCGCAUGCUCCUGUGUAAGGUUAGUUGCUUUUCCUGUUCAACCCUGUGGCUGUAGUUUGUUGUUGCUUGGACGAGUGUGCACGUGUGAGCAUAUGAGUGUGCGUGCAAGGAUGUUGUGUGGGCCUGCACAUGUGAAUAUGUGUGUGUGCUCGUGCACACACAUGUGCAGCCGCUCAAGGUUGGGGUCUGUGUUUUGUUCCCUGCUCCAUCCCUGUGUGUGGAAUGCACUGGCAGGUGGUGGGUGUGCCGUGCAUGGUUGCUGACUGAAUGGGUGUUGGAGGAGACAGAGCUUGCUGAGUGUCCCAGGGUCUCCUGUGGGUGGGCAGAGCGCUCACUGGGCCGGGGCGGAGGGCAGGGGUGCAGGUGCUGUCUGUGCUGGUCCCACAGAGUUGACGGGCGCCGACCUGAAGGACUGCGUCAGCAACAACAGCCUGAGCAGCAAUGCCAGCCUCCCCAGCGUGCAGAGCUGCCGGCGCCUGCGUGAGAGGAGGGUCGCCAGCUGGGCCGUGUCCUUCGAGCGCCUGCUGCAGGACCCCGUCGGUGUCCGCUACUUCUCUGAUUUUCUAAGGAAAGAAUUCAGUGAAGAAAACAUUUUAUUCUGGCAGGCCUGUGAAUAUUUUAAUCAUGUUCCUGCACAUGACAAAAAGGAGCUUUCCUACAGGGCCCGGGAGAUUUUCAGUAAGUUUCUCUGCAGCAAAGCCACCACCCCGGUCAACAUCGACAGCCAGGCCCAGCUAGCAGACGAUGUCCUCCGCGCACCUCACCCGGACAUGUUCAAGGAGCAGCAGCUCCAGAUCUUCAAUCUCAUGAAGUUUGAUAGCUACACUCGGUUUCUGAAGUCCCCGCUGUACCAGGAAUGCAUCCUGGCGGAAGUGGAGGGCCGCGCACUCCCGGACUCGCAGCAGGUCCCUAGCAGCCCGGCUUCCAAGCACAGCCUCGGUUCAGACCACUCUAGUGUGUCCACGCCAAAAAAGGUUUCCAUUUGAUGACAGUUAAGCGGAAAAUCAAAAUCCGGCCGAUCCUUGAAUGAAGAGCUGGGGGAUGAGGACAGCGAGAAGAAGCGGAAAGGCGCGUUUUUCUCGUGGUCACGGACCAGGAGCACCGGAAGGUCCCAGAAGAAGAGGGAGCACGGGGACCAGGCAGACGGUUUGUGGGGUGGCUCCCGGGCUGUGGUGUCCAGGCCAGGCAGCCGCGUCCCCGUCCUGGCGUUGCUCUGGUGGUUGGCGGUGACCUUGGGCCAUGUGUGCAGUGAGAGGCCCUGUUGGCGGGUCGAGGAAGCUUCUCUGAAUGAAUAAGGAAUGCCGCUGUGUCUGGGGACACGACCUGUCAGCCAGCCAGAGGGCAGCAGGGCUGCUCCAGAAUCUUCAGAGAAAAGGGCUCAAUACAUUCCAGCCCAUGCCUACCUCAGGCCUACCCCACACAGUGGUGGCUGAACAUCUAUGUCCUCUCCUGCUUUUCACUAUCAAAGUAAUAGGUGCUUUUGGUAGAAAAUUUGGAAAAUACAAUCAAGUAAAAAUAACACACAAAUGUGCUAUUGGGUGUCUCCCCCAAUGGCAGCUUGGUUCUCUGCCAGGGCUUUUUCCUAGGUAGAUGUCAGAGUCCAUAUGCCUUUUACAUGUGUGUGGUUUUUUAAAAUGUAGUAGCAUAGUUGGAGUAGUGAGCAUUUUUCAAGUUAAGAUUGGUAUUGGUUAUUGGGGGCUGCCCAUUCUGGAUGCUCUGUCCCUUUUUUCUCUUUGCACGUCUGAGACUUCCUGUAACAAAAGUUAGGCAGAGAGACGGCUCCCAGGGCACCAGGGGGUGGGGCUACAGGGCCCUUGGCGGCUCCUGGCCGAGCUCCAGACACCAGCCGGGUGGUGUUGGUGGGUGGCAGGGCAGAGGGCAUGGAGAUGCCCAUGCUGAAUGCUGGCGAAGAUGAGGCUGUUCUGUACCAGGUGCUGAAAAGCACACAGGGGAGAACUGGGAAGAUUUUCUUCUCUAGAGAUUUUUGGGAAAGGGAUUAGUUUUCAGGAAUGAGUGUCCUGCCUGAAGGCAGGGGACUGGCACUAAGCCUGUGGUCUCCAAGUUUAAAUCAGGCAUGAGGUGAUUGCGCUAGCACCAGCCGGCAUGGCCCUGGUGGAGGCAGGUGAGCAGGGUGCUCUGUGCUCCGCGGCUGUGGCUUCUGUGUUUGCCCUGCAGUGCCAAGCAUUUGCGCACGGCUGCUCCCCGCCUGCAGGGGGAAGUGUUGUUCCCGGGGCGCUGAAGGAGGCGCUGGUGAGGGCUUGACGUGGGCAGCCCUGAGCUUCUGGCCAUGCUGUGAGGUGCUCUUCUCCGAGCAAAGGCAGCUGAGAGUUGUAGAGUUCACCUUUGUCGGAGGCCACCUGGGAGAUGGACACUGUGUUAUUAGGUGGGGCCAGGCCUCUCGAGUACCUGGGAGAUGGGAGUGUUUGCUUCAGACAGUCCAUCCGCUCGUGCCCAUCCUCAUACCUGGCAGAUCUGCAAAGGGCUUUUAAAACCUCGAUAGAGCCGGGCGUGGGAGCUCACACCUGUAAUCCCAGCACUUUGGGAGGCCGAGGCAGGUGGAUUGCCUGAGCUCGGGAGUUGGUGACCAGCCUGGGCAACAUUGUAAGGCUCUACUAAAAAUACAGAAAAAAAAAAAAUUAGGAGUCAGGCACAGUGGCUCAUGCCUGUAAUCUCAUCACUUUGGGAGGCUGAGGUGGGCAGAUCAACUGAGGUCAGAAGUUCGAUACCAGUCUGGCCAACAUGGUGAAACCCCAUCUCUACUAAAAAUACAAAAAUUAGCCAGAUGUGAUGGCGCAUGCGUGUAAUCCCAGCUACUCAGGAGGCUGAGACAGGAGAAUUAGUUGAACCCGGGAGGUGGAAGUUGCAGUGAGCUGAGAUUGUGCCAUUGAACUCCAGCCUGGGCAACAGAGCGAGACUCCGUCUUAAAAAAAAAAAAAAAAAUUAGCUGGGUGUGAUGGUGGGUACUUUCAGUCCCAGUUACUCAGGAGGCUGAGGCAUGAGAAUCGCUUGAACCCGGGAGGCAGAGGUUGCAGUGAGCCGAGAACUACACUCCAGUUUGUGUGACAGAGCAAGACUGUCUCAAAUAAAUAAAUAAAUAAAUAAAUAAAUAAA
Molecule: small RNA, 3805 nt
Filed under: Pongo abelii (Sumatran orangutan)
Lineage: Eukaryota; Metazoa; Chordata; Mammalia; Primates; Hominidae
Description: retained intron
Source: RNAcentral